GGGCACCUUGACGACGAGAAUAACUGGCUGGACGAGCUCAUUAUCUUCUAGGCUUCGAUUGAGGAAAACGGAACCGUUUAAUGGAUCAAGAACGAAAUCUUGGUAUUCUACUCCUCCUGUUGUUAUUUAAUUUGAGUUUAACAAGAGAAAAGGUGGCCAUACCGGCGUUCCAUGCAUAUCGAAUGGAUGCAUUGAUUCCUGCGUCCUGAUCAACGGCCCGCAUCGGUUCCGGUCGGAUUUCCAGCCCGGUUCCCUGGGGAAAAAGGAGAGAAAAAUCGAAAGUGGUUUUCUACAUCUCUCUUCGUGUGUGUGAAUCAAGCCGAUGGUGGAGACCGUUAGAAGGAGUAGUAUCAAGUGUAGCCUACUGUAUAAAACCGCACAAACAGUCCAUUGUUUGGGGUGGAGUUGACGACCGCAAUAGUUCGUUAUUUCGUGAUCGAGGGUCUUACGACUUCUUCAGGUAAGAUCUAAGACACUGACCUCCAAACGCAAUCAACGGCGACCUGCAGCCCCAAAUCUAAUCCGACAUUUCUUUCUCUACGUCUAAUCUUUUUUUUUUUUUUUUUUUUUUUCUUUCUUUGUCGCCAUCAAGUGAAGAGGAAGAGAGGAAAUGAUGACAACUUUAGUUCUUCUUUUGUAACAUGCGCCGUGCCCUGGAAAUUCGAUCCAGCGUGUGCUAUUCACGCUGACAAAUUGAAUUAAAAAAGAACCGCGGGACUUGUGACUCCUUGGUGGUUUAUGGAGCUGAAAUUGUUGCCUUGAUGAAAGAAGAAAAAUCGUCAGUAGCUUUUUCUUUAUGACGUCUGCGGGCGAACAUUGCUCACAAAAAAGUCGGCACGGCCUCAAUUUCCCAUUCGUUACCGCACGCCUUCGCCGCCGCUACUACCACACAUCAACCAACGCAGUAUCUCGAAACAAUUAUUCUCUCCAUUGUCCUAGUGUGAAAACAUCAAUGAAAGUAGGAGAAAGAAAAAAAGAUUUGCCGAAACCCGGGAUCGAACCAGGGACCUUUAGAUCUUCAGUCUAACGCUCUCCCAACUGAGCUAUUUCGGCAUACCACCUGCUGCUAGACGCAAAGUCUAAAUCGCAUUGUCCUUUGCUUAACUAAUUCACGCGGCCAUAAAAGAAUAUCAGAAAUCGCAGCCACCCCAUCAUUUUAUAAGCUUUAAUUGACCAUUAAACAGUCAAUGACACUGAGAACAAUAUGGUCGAUGAGCCGUAAGCUUCUGAAGCAUCCGGUCUUUGUGCUAUCGAAACUUGCUCAGCCCGUGCUGCAAACGUUUGUUGUGCGCGCUAAUUGUGUGAAUACGCUCGGCAUCAGCAGCGCCGGCCAUAUCCUGUUCAAUGAAUAAUGAAUCGCUAAUGUCCAACUGUUACCAGAAGCGGAUGCCAUUGUCGGCCACUUAAGGAAACUGCGUCGACGGAAAUUCGUGAAUAAUUUCCCCUCAGGGAAAAAGGACGAAAAAAAAAAAAAUCUAAACCUCCAGCUACGUUUUCUCCCGGCGUGUUGAGAAAUUUGAUGGGCCGAAGACUCUGUUCAGCAUGACCAAUUGGUACAACGUGAAGAGAGAAAACUACGGAAUCAAAAAUAAAUUUGAAGUCACACAAAAAAAAUGUGGAGGGGGCACACAAAGAUAUUCAGAAACGCACAAGAAACAAAAGACGACCGGGGGGGCAGGAGAAGUAAACGGAAACCGGAAACUGUAUUACAGUAGCCCACCUCGCAGGACGAAAAACGAAUACCAUGUUCUAGACUUGAGCGUUUUAAUGGUAGAUAGAAUUGAAGUUUACCUGUGAGCUUCCUAGUGACAGUUCGGGGUUCGAGUUGAUCGACUACUAAUUCCACUUGAGUUACCAAU
Daphnia carinata is the source of this 1859-nucleotide long non-coding RNA. RefSeq lists it as uncharacterized. The record is from RefSeq and is a predicted model, not a curated record. Lineage: Eukaryota; Metazoa; Arthropoda; Branchiopoda; Diplostraca; Daphniidae. The transcript has 6 exons.